CCUACGGGGGGCAGCAGUGGGGAAUAUUGGACAAUGGGCGAAAGCCUGAUCCAGCCAUGCCGCGUGUGUGAAGAAGGCCUUCGGGUUGUAAAGCACUUUCAGUGGGGAAGAAAGCCUUGGGGCUAAUACCCUCGAGGAAGGACAUCACCCACAGAAGAAGCACCGGCUAACUCCGUGCCAGCAGCCGCGGUAAUACGGAGGGUGCGAGCGUUAAUCGGAAUUACUGGGCGUAAAGCGCGCGUAGGCGGUCUGAUAAGCCGGUUGUGAAAGCCCCGGGCUCAACCUGGGAACGGCAUCCGGAACUGUCAGGCUAGAGUGCAGGAGAGGAAGGUAGAAUUCCCGGUGUAGCGGGGAAAUGCGUAGAGAUCGGGAGGAAUACCAGUGGCGAAGGCGGCCUUCUGGACUGACACUGACGCUGAGGUGCGAAAGCGUGGGUAGCAAACAGGAUUAGAUACCCGAGUAGUC
RNAcentral lists this ribosomal RNA (465 nucleotides) under Vreelandella stevensii. RNAcentral's name for it is "partial 16S ribosomal RNA". It matches the Rfam family "Bacterial small subunit ribosomal RNA", at positions 338 to 795 of the family's 1533-position model. Lineage: Bacteria; Pseudomonadati; Pseudomonadota; Gammaproteobacteria; Oceanospirillales; Halomonadaceae. The record is from RNAcentral.